RNAcentral lists this long non-coding RNA (458 nucleotides) under Nicotiana benthamiana. Its description in RNAcentral is "long non-coding RNA (NBEN_LNC024226)". Lineage: Eukaryota; Viridiplantae; Streptophyta; Magnoliopsida; Solanales; Solanaceae. The record is from RNAcentral.
AAUGCUCCAGAGGUGGAUGCAAGGGAAAUUGUCUAAGGAAGGUCACUUUGCUCAUAUGUAACUUCUUCAACUAAUGAGUUACAAUACAAAGACACAAUAACAGUUUUACAAGUUCAUAUGUCGUUCCAGGAAAUGAUACUAAUCAUGUAAAUACACUUCAACAUUUCAUGUUAUCCUACACCUAGUUUGAGGAGAAUGGUGUUCUUUCGUCGUUCCACGAAAUGAUACUAAUCAUGUAAAUACACUUCACAAUUUCAUGUUAUCCUCCACCUUGUUUGAGGAGAAUGAUGUUCUUUCUGAGGUUACACUAAGCACUAAAAUGUUGAAGAACCACAACCCAAGUCUUUUAAUUUGUUAAUUUUACCCGACCUUGUGCAUCAGGACAAACACUCCCCAUAGCAUUGAUCUCCGGUUAUAACCAUGUCAAAUAUUUUGCGUAUAUAAAUUCUCCUAGCAUU